UACGUAGGGGGCAAGCGUUGUCCGGAUUUACUGGGCGUAAAGAGCGUGUAGGCGGCCAAACAGGUCCGUUGUGAAAACUGGAGGCUUAACCUCCAGACGUCGACGGAAACCGUAUGGCUAGAGUCCGGAAGAGGAGAGUGGAAUUCCUGGUGUAGCGGUGAAAUGCGCAGAUAUCAGGAAGAACACCUAUUGCGAAGGCAGCUCGCUGGGACGUAACUGACGCUGAGACGCGAAAGCGUGGGGAGCAAACAGG
Molecule: ribosomal RNA, 253 nt
Filed under: uncultured bacterium
Lineage: Bacteria
Description: partial 16S ribosomal RNA
Rfam family: Bacterial small subunit ribosomal RNA
Source: RNAcentral